RNAcentral lists this ribosomal RNA (460 nucleotides) under uncultured bacterium. Its description in RNAcentral is "partial 16S ribosomal RNA". It matches the Rfam family "Bacterial small subunit ribosomal RNA", at positions 338 to 795 of the family's 1533-position model. The record is from RNAcentral.
CCUACGGGGGGCAGCAGUGAGGAAUAUUGGUCAAUGGCCGCAAGGCUGAACCAGCCAUGCCGCGUGAAGGUCAGUGCCCUAUGGGCGUUAAACUUCUUUUGUGCGGGAGCAAUAAUGGUCACGUGUGGCCAGACGAGAGUACCGUACGAAUAAGCAUCGGCUAACUCCGUGCCAGCAGCCGCGGUAAUACGGGGGGUGCAAGCGUUAUCCGGAUUUAUUUGGGUUAAAGGGUGCGUAGGAUGGGAGGUAAGUCAGCGGUGAAAUGCCCCCGCUCAACGGGGUGAAGUGCCAUUGAUACUGGCUUGCUGGAAUGCGGAUGCCGUGGGAGGAAUGUGUGGUGUAGCGGUGAAAUGCAUAGAUAUCACACAGAACACCGAUUGCGAAGGCAGCUCACGAAUCCGCGAUUGACGCUGAUGCACGAAAGCGUGGGUAUCAAACAGGAUUAGAUACCCCAGUAGUC